GAAAUGCGAUAAGUAAUGUGAAUUGCAGAAUUCAGUGAAUCAUCGAAUCUUUGAACGCACAUUGCGCCCCCUGGUAUUCCGGGGGGCAUGCCUGUCCGAGCGUCAUUACAACCCUCAAGCUCAGCUUGGUAUUGGGCCCCGCCGACCCGGCGGGCCCUAAAGUCAGUGGCGGUGCCGUCCGGCUCCGAGCGUAGUAAUUCUUCUCGCUCUGGAGGUCCGGUCGUGUGCUCGCCAGCAACCCCCAAUUUUUUUCAGGUUGACCUCGGAUCAGGUAGGGAUACCCGCUGAACUUAA
RNAcentral lists this unclassified non-coding RNA (294 nucleotides) under fungal sp. RNAcentral's name for it is "partial contains 5.8S ribosomal RNA, internal transcribed spacer 2, and large subunit ribosomal RNA". The stretch from base 1 to 105 matches the Rfam family "5.8S ribosomal RNA", at positions 50 to 154 of the family's 154-position model. Lineage: Eukaryota; Fungi. The record is from RNAcentral. RNAcentral also lists the same sequence under 3 other names.